Synchiropus splendidus (mandarinfish) is the source of this 789-nucleotide long non-coding RNA. RefSeq lists it as uncharacterized. The record is from RefSeq and is a predicted model, not a curated record. NCBI's taxonomy places the organism in Eukaryota, Metazoa, Chordata, Actinopteri, Syngnathiformes, Callionymidae. The transcript has 4 exons.
UCUGGGUUCGAAUUCAAUUCAAAAUAUAAGCACUGCUCCAGUACAUUGGAUGCAUGGUUGUAUCAAAAGAAUUGUGCUGGUGUCUUUCCUUUCCAGACGAGUCCAAGCGAGCCAGGACCAGAACCGGGCCCCAGAGAAAUAAUCUGUAAACCAGGGACCAGGCAACCGCUGUAUACUUGCCAGAGCUAAUGCCGACACCAUGACAGAAGCUCAGAUGCAGCUUUAUUUUGAAGGAGAAGCUCUGCUUUGUUCUGGUUCACUCCUCAUUAGAGGCGGCACUAGUGAUGGAGCGACAGAGGGCACGGUGGGAGAAACUGGGAGAUAAAGAUGAAUGGGACAGCAAAAGUCGAGAAAGAAGAGACCUGUGACCUCUGAUUAACACCCUCCAUACCCCCCCCUCCACCUCCUCCAGCAGUGGCCUUUACCACUCAUGACGGAAUACAGCCAGGAAGCUCGAAUCUCCACGCUCCGUCACGAUCUCACACCAGGCGAGGACGCACAUUGAUCUCCUGGGCUGGUGUUCAUUUCAAAUUCCUGUUAGGAUCCAUCCACUUCAUCGAUUUCACCAUCUCCUCUGAUUAGGCACUUGUGAGGAACAUCCGAGCGUUCCUGCUGCUGCAUCAGGAAGACUUGCCCCAGUGGGCUGCUGAUAAAAAUGAUAGGAGUUCACAUUAUUCAGUUUUGGAACAGCUGGUAAAUUUGAGCAGAAUCAACCCUGAGGAGAGUGACAGACAUCCAAAAAUAUUUUUCCUAUAGUCUGCACGUACUGUAACAUAAUUCCAUUCAAAU